CGGACGGGUGAGUAAUGUCUGGGAAACUGCCUGAUGGAGGGGGAUAACUACUGGAAACGGUAGCUAAUACCGCAUAACGUCGCAAGACCAAAGAGGGGGACCUUCGGGCCUCUUGCCAUCGGAUGUGCCCAGAUGGGAUUAGCUAGUAGGUGGGGUAACGGCUCACCUAGGCGACGAUCCCUAGCUGGUCUGAGAGGAUGGCCGGCCACACUGGAACUGAGACACGGUCCAG
Molecule: ribosomal RNA, 232 nt
Filed under: uncultured bacterium
Lineage: Bacteria
Description: partial 16S ribosomal RNA
Rfam family: Bacterial small subunit ribosomal RNA
Source: RNAcentral